GACGAACGCUGGCGGCAUGCCUAAUACAUGCAAGUCGAACGCUGAAGCACCCUGCUUGCAGAGUGCGGAUGAGUGGCGAACGGGUGAGUAACACGUGGGGAAUCUGCCUAUAAGUGGGGGAUAACAUUCGGAAACGGAUGCUAAUACCGCAUAUAUUCUUGGACCGCCUGGUCCUUGAAAGAAAGACGGCUUUGCUGUCGCUUAUAGAUGAUCCCGCGGCGUAUUAGUUAGUUGGUGGGGUAAAGGCCUACCAAGACAAUGAUACGUAGCCGAACUGAGAGGGUGAUCGGCCACACUGGGACUGAGACACGGCCCAGACUCCUACGGGAGGCAGCAGUAGGGAAUCUUCCACAAAGGGCGAAAGCCUGAUGGAGCAAUGCCGCGUGAAUGAAGAAGGUCUUCGGAUCGUAAAGUUCUGUUAUUAGAGAAGAACAAGUCAAGGAAUAACUGUCUUGACUUUGACGGUACCUAACCAGAAAGUCACGGCUAACUACGUG
RNAcentral lists this ribosomal RNA (497 nucleotides) under uncultured bacterium. RNAcentral's name for it is "partial 16S ribosomal RNA". It matches the Rfam family "Bacterial small subunit ribosomal RNA", at positions 28 to 507 of the family's 1533-position model. The record is from RNAcentral.